GAUGAACGCUGACAGAAUGCUUAACACAUGCAAGUCUUUGGCGAAUCUGUGCUUGCACAGGCUAGCCAAGGCGGACGGGUGAGUAACGCGUAAAGAACUUGCCCUGCAGACAGGGAUAACAGACGGAAACGACUGAUAACACCUGAUACAGUUGCCGGCACGCAUGUGCCUGGCAAUGAAAAGAGAUGCUGCAGGAGAGCUUUGCGUCCUAUUAGCUUGUUGGUGAGGUGACGGCUCACCAAGGCGAUGAUAGGUAGCCGGCCUGAGAGGGUGAACGGCCACAAGGGGACUGAGAUACGGCCCUUACUCCUACGGGAGGCAGCAGUGGGGAAUAUUGGACAAUGGGGGCAACCCUGAUCCAGCAAUUCGGUGUGAACGAAGAAGGUUUUCGGAUUGUAAAGGGCUUUCAGCAGGGAAGAAGAAAGUGACGGUACCUGCAGAAGAAGCGACGGCUAAAUACGUG
RNAcentral lists this ribosomal RNA (463 nucleotides) under uncultured bacterium. RNAcentral describes it as "partial 16S ribosomal RNA". It matches the Rfam family "Bacterial small subunit ribosomal RNA", at positions 28 to 507 of the family's 1533-position model. The record is from RNAcentral.